GUGGGGAAUUUUGCGCAAUGGGCGAAAGCCUGACGCAGCGACGCCGCGUGAGUGAUGAAGGCCUUCGGGUCGUAAAGCUCUGUGGGAAGGGAACGAAAACGGACAGGGAACAAUACCCCUGUCCUCUGACGGUACCCAUCCAGAAAGCACCGGCUAACUCCGUGCCAGCAGCCGCGGUAAUACGGAGGGUGCAAGCGUUGUUCGGAAUCAUUGGUCGUAAAGGGCGUGUAGGCGGAAUGUUAUGUCGGGUGUGAAAGCCCUCGGCUUAACCGAGGAAAUGCACUCGAAACUGGCAUUCUUGAGUACGGGAGAGGGAAGCGGAAUUCCCAGUGUAGAGGUGAAAUUCGUAGAUAUUGGGAGGAACACCGGUGGCGAAGGCGGCUUCCUGGACCGAUACUGACGCUGAGACGCGAAAGCGUGGGGAGCAAACAGGAUUAGAAACCCGGGUAGUCC
Molecule: ribosomal RNA, 453 nt
Filed under: uncultured bacterium
Lineage: Bacteria
Description: bacterial SSU rRNA
Rfam family: Bacterial small subunit ribosomal RNA
Source: RNAcentral